Molecule: ribosomal RNA, 511 nt
Filed under: Paenibacillus sp. UASWS1643
Lineage: Bacteria; Bacillati; Bacillota; Bacilli; Caryophanales; Paenibacillaceae
Description: bacterial SSU rRNA
Rfam family: Bacterial small subunit ribosomal RNA
Source: RNAcentral
AGACAGGUGGUGCAUGGUUGUCGUCAGCUCGUGUCGUGAGAUGUUGGGUUAAGUCCCGCAACGAGCGCAACCCUUAUAUUUAGUUGCCAGCACUUCGGGUGGGCACUCUAGAUAGACUGCCGGUGACAAACCGGAGGAAGGUGGGGAUGACGUCAAAUCAUCAUGCCCCUUAUGACCUGGGCUACACACGUACUACAAUGGCCGGUACAACGGGCUGCGAAAUCGCGAGAUGGAGCCAAUCCCAACAAAGCCGGUCUCAGUUCGGAUUGCAGGCUGCAACUCGCCUGCAUGAAGUCGGAAUUGCUAGUAAUCGCGGAUCAGCAUGCCGCGGUGAAUACGUUCCCGGGUCUUGUACACACCGCCCGUCACACCACGAGAGUUUAUAACACCCGAAGUCGGUGGGGUAACCGCAAGGAGCCAGCCGCCGAAGGUGGGAUAGAUGAUUGGGGUGAAGUCGUAACAAGGUAGCCGUAUCGGAAGGUGCGGCUGGAUCACCUCCUUUCUAUGGAGA